CGGCAGCCUAUACAUGCAGUCGAACGAGUUCUCGUUGAUGAUCGGUGCUUGCACCGAGAUUCAACAUGGAACGAGUGGCGGACGGGUGAGUAACACGUGGGUAACCUGCCCUUAAGUGGGGGAUAACAUUUGGAAACAGAUGCUAAUACCGCAUAGAUCCAAGAACCGCAUGGUUCUUGGCUGAAAGAUGGCGUAAGCUAUCGCUUUUGGAUGGACCCGCGGCGUAUUAGCUA
RNAcentral lists this ribosomal RNA (233 nucleotides) under Lacticaseibacillus paracasei. RNAcentral describes it as "partial 16S ribosomal RNA". It matches the Rfam family "Bacterial small subunit ribosomal RNA", at positions 50 to 247 of the family's 1533-position model. The record is from RNAcentral. Lineage: Bacteria; Bacillati; Bacillota; Bacilli; Lactobacillales; Lactobacillaceae.